RNAcentral lists this ribosomal RNA (565 nucleotides) under uncultured Glomeromycotina. RNAcentral's name for it is "SSU rRNA". It matches the Rfam family "Eukaryotic small subunit ribosomal RNA", at positions 548 to 1114 of the family's 1831-position model. Lineage: Eukaryota; Fungi; Glomeromycota. The record is from RNAcentral.
UUGGAGGGCAAGUCUGGUGCCAGCAGCCGCGGUAAUUCCAGCUCCAAUAGCGUAUAUUAAAGUUGUUGCAGGUAAAAAGCUCGUAGUUGAAUUUCGGGGUUAGUAGGUUGGUCAUGCCUCUGGUAUGUACUGGUCCCACUGAUUCCUCCUUCCUGAUGAGCCGUAAUGCCAUUAAUUUGGUGUUGCGGGGAAUUUGGACUGUUACUUUGAAAAAAUUAGAGUGUUUAAAGCAAGCUAACGCUUGAAUACAUUAGCAUGGAAUAAUGAAAUAGGACGUUCGAUCCUAUUUUGUUGGUUUCUAGGAUUGACGUAAUGAUUAAUAGGGAUAGUUGGGGGCAUUAGUAUUCAAUUGUCAGAGGUGAAAUUCUUGGAUUUAUUGAAGACUAACUACUGCGAAAGCAUUUGCCAAGGAUGUUUUCAUUAAUCAAGAACGAAAGUUAGGGGAUCGAAGACGAUCAGAUACCGUCGUAGUCUUAACCAUAAACUAUGCCGACUAGGGAUCGGAUGAUGUUAAUUUUUUAAUGACUCAUUCGGCGCCUUACGGGAAACCAAAGUGUUUGGGUUC